RNAcentral lists this ribosomal RNA (484 nucleotides) under uncultured bacterium. Its description in RNAcentral is "partial 16S ribosomal RNA". It matches the Rfam family "Bacterial small subunit ribosomal RNA", at positions 30 to 507 of the family's 1533-position model. The record is from RNAcentral.
AUUGAACGCUGGCGGCAGGCCUAACACAUGCAAGUCGAGCGGAUGAAGGGAGCUUGCUCCUGGAUUCAGCGGCGGACGGGUGAGUAAUGCCUAGGAAUCUGCCUGGUAGUGGGGGAUAACGUCCGGAAACGGGCGCUAAUACCGCAUACGUCCUGAGGGAGAAAGUGGGGGAUCUUCGGACCUCACGCUAUCAGGUGAGCCUAGGUCGGAUUAGCUAGUUGGUGGGGUAAAGGCCUGCCAAGGCGACGAUCCGUAACUGGUCUGAGAGGAUGAUCAGUCACACUGGAACUGAGACACGGUCCAGACUCCUACGGGAGGCAGCAGUGGGGAAUAUUGGACAAUGGGCGAAAGCCUGAUCCAGCCAUGCCGCGUGUGUGAAGAAGGUCUUCGGAUUGUAAAGCACUUUAAGUUGGGAGGAAGGGCAGUAAGUUAAUACCUUGCUGUUUUGACGUUACCAACAGAAUAAGCACCGGCUAACUUCGUG